Molecule: long non-coding RNA, 1884 nt
Filed under: Lactuca sativa (garden lettuce)
Lineage: Eukaryota; Viridiplantae; Streptophyta; Magnoliopsida; Asterales; Asteraceae
Description: long non-coding RNA (LSAT_LNC008245)
Source: RNAcentral
AGAAUACACCCACAAUUCACAAAACUUGUUUCUCAUCUACUUGUCUUGCUAUUCAGUUUUAACAUCUGAAGCAAUUAAUUCAUCCAUUUCAAUUAUCGCUCCUUUGAGGUUUAUCAGAGACAAAAGAUCCCUGAAAAAGAAAGUUCACCAAAAUCUCUUUCAAAUAUUUAUCUUUAUAAAAAAAAAAAAAAAAGUUAAUUUCAGUUUUACCAUGUCAGCGGGUGCUGGGGUCCACUCAUUAGUGGCUGGAUUCCCCUUACAUGAAGCAUGAUGGGCAUUUUCAGAUUCAGAGCCUAACUCAAAGCCAGCCUUAUUUGUGUCAUCUACUUUGAUGAACCCCGUUCCUGUCUGCAACAUCAACAAUCAUAAUUUUGUAAACUUUUAUGAAAAAACACAACAAAAAAGAGGCAAAUAUGGUGUUUUUUUAUGCGUUUUCUUUUAUUAUCGUAUUGUACCCAUUGUAAUCUAUAAUUAUUCCUUAUUAGGGCAUUGUGCUUUAGAAAAAUUACCUAUUGUACUAGUCAUUCCAUUAUAUAUUUUGCUUGCUGACAUGGCAAAUCUGAUGUGGAUACGAUUAUAUUGACAUGAAAAACCUGGUUUAAAAUUUCUUUAAGAGCUUAUGUGCAUCCAAUGUGGACAAUGACAUUACAAUAGAACCUUUUAACACAUGUCAUCAUAGGUAACAAGAGCAAAAGUAGAAAAAUAAAACUUGCAAAGUUACAAUUUUAAGGCGAAAAAAGUGAUGUAAUGGUAAAAUCGUAUUUUUUUUGAAAAACUAAAGGGUUUUUAUGUCAGUAUCCUUUUUUUUGUACACAUAUAACCAUUAAACUUUUUUUUGUUCACAUAUGACCAUUAAACUUAAUGGUCAUACAUGUACAAAAAAUAUAUAUAUAAUUGACUAAAUGUGUCUAACGUGAUAAAGUUUAUUACUCUUAUAAAGCAUUAACCCAAAAUUUUAUAUGUCAUGAUACUAAGAAAAUUUUAUACUAAGAAUAAUUUGAAAUAAUAAAAAAUAAAGUUCAAUGUUAUGAUAAGAAUAAAAUAGAAAGUAUGUUGCUUUUUAUUGCAUUUGGCCCUUUUAUUGUUUAUAUAGCGAUAGAUAGCCAAAUAUAACGUUAAAGAAAAGUUAAUGACACAUUUUUAUUAAGAUAAAAAGGGAAAUAUAUUAUAUUAUUAUAAUAUUAUAUACCGUGUGAUGUUGCUUGUCAACACCAUUAAGAUCCUUGUAAUAUUCCGUUUCCACAAACUCAUCACUCACAUCCUUACCUGUAUAAACAAUUUUCUGCAACAACAAAAGAAAAAAUCAUUCGAAGAAGAAGAAAAUUUUCCUUAUUUUGUCAUUAUUAAAUGUUUUUAAAACAUUUUUUGGAUGAAUUUGAAAAACACACCCUAAAAGUGAACCCCUAGUAAUUAUGUAUACACACCUAAAGCCCAAAGGAUAAAGUUUCAACUAUUUGACAAGUCCAGUUGAAUCAGGAGUAUUUUAGACAUUUGGUAAUUAGUCUCUUUAAUUGAACAGAAUGGAAUGAUUAGGGUAAACAAGUUAUUAGAUUGUAUGAUAUUUGGGAAUAAAACGAAAUUGAAUAUGAUAUUUGUAAAUACAAUUUGUAGUUCUUCUAAUUUCUAAUUAUAUCUAUACAAUUGACUAUUUACAAAACUAAAAAGUCAGAACAUAAUAAAAGCUUAUUAUAAUUAAAACUCAAAUAAUAUACAAAACAAAGAACAAACCUCAGAGUUUUGUUCAAGAUGUUGAAACUCUAGAUACUCAGGGCUAACACCAUCAUCUUCAUCGUUGGGCAAACCCAAACCAUCAACAUAUUUCGAGGAAUACUCACUGCGUUGUGGCUUCGUAUGACGCCUGGGAGCUAACCCAUCGAAAUAGUC